GCAGCGGAGGCGGGAAGGGGCGAGAGAGCGGAGCUCGGGCAAGGCCAGGCCGCAGCAGCGGAGGGGGCGCGGAGAAGCGCAGGCCCUGCCCGGCCCAGGCAGCUAGCGCCGGGGGAACAACGCGACGCGAAGCUGGACGGCCCAGAGGAAGCCGCCCGUGGCCAGACCGGGCCUGGAGGCCGAGACGCGGUGCCGCAGCGUCUCCCCGUCACGUCUGGGCACGCACCUCCUGGCGCCAGGGGCGCUCCGUCCCGCCCUCCGCAAAGGAUUAGCUUUGGAACGGGUUUUGGGGUGUGCCUGCUUCCUCCUCUCGGUCAGGUGAGUGAGUGGGCGUUGUUCUUCGUUGUCGAGCUGCUUCCACUUCCCCGCGUCUCCCUGUGCUUGGUGCUCCACCUGGAGUCAGCGAGGCUGCGGAAUUCUGCGGGGUGAGGCCGGAGUGGGGGGAUUUUCACAGCGACGGAGCCCGUCUGAGCGCUUGGCCCAAGCCUCCUCGAUGCUCGAAUCUGGACGGCCUGCGACAUCUCCAGGGCUCCGACGCCAGCCCUGGACUCCCGGGGAUCUUCCAGGGCUGCAGAGAAGCAAGGAAGUAUUGGACACGGUCAGGACCGUGAACGUGACGCCGGAGUUGGAACUGAAAUGCCUUCGCUUUAAUACGCCUGUUGUUUGACUUGAGGCAACUGCGUUUCCCUCUCUGGGCCUCAUUUUCUCCCUUCCGUUAAGUGAGGACCUUGGACUGUUUCAGCGAAUCUCGUUUUUUUCAGGCAUGGACUCCUUUGAGAAUCUGGUGAGAACUGUAGAACACCUCGACAGAGAAGCGCACAUGCAUACUAAAUUUUGCAAAAAGUUUUGGACAGUUCACCUAAGCAGGUUAUUUUUAGGGAUCUUUUCCAUUUGUAUGACUCUGACGGUUGCUCAGAUGGCAGGCAGAGAAGGGGUGGGCUGAGCAACAAGCUGCCACUCCCUCCAACACCGAGACUGGUUCUGCUGCGCUAGCUGUGCCCCUCCUCACUCACCACGCCCCAGCUCCACGUCUGCACUUCUCAGAGCUUUAUAGGAAAAGAUGGCUUUCCUCAGUAGAAUGGGCUAGAGUUGGUUAUGGCCCAACCUUCGUGUGAGGUUGUCACCUGAACCAAAACUUGACCCUCCCACUCCCCAAUACCUUAGCUGUAAUCACCUAACUAGAUAGGCUGCUGAGAAUAGCUUAGUAUAUUCAACUUAACUACAGCCAGAUCUUGGAAUGCCUGGCCCAUGCCUGGGAAUGGAAUCUACAGGUCAUUGGAUAAGGUUGUUAAAGCAUGUCGCAGGUAAAACAUUUUAAAUCCUUCUUGUUCAUAGGAGAGGCUCAGUAACUGACAAGGGAUGAAAAAAACCUAUUGGGACUUACCCGGUGGCGCAGUGGUUAAGAAUCCGCCUGCCAAUGCAGGGGACAGGGGUUGGAGCCCUGGUCCGGGAAGCUCCCACAUGCGGCGGAGCAACUAAGCCCAUGCACCACAACUACUGAGCCUGUGCUCUAGAGCCCGCGAGCCACAACCACUGAAGCCCGCGGUGCCUAGAGCCUGUGCUCCGCAGCAAGAGAAGCCACUGCAACGUAGAGUAGCCCCUGCUUGCCGCUAGAGAAAGCCUGCGUGCAGCAAUGAAGACGCAACACAGCCAAAAGUAAAUAAAAUAAAUAAAUAUAUUUUUUUUUAAAAAGAAAAAGUCCUGUUAAUUGUGAAGUUCCAACAUCAAACCUAAUGAUGCUAAUAAUGACUACCCUGUACUAUGCAGCAGCCAUGCACAUGUUCACACAUUUAAUAUUCCUGUGUUUUUACACAUUUUACAGAUGAGGAUGACUGGGACUCAGAUAUUAGGUAUCUUGUUCUAGCUCCCGUUCUAUGUCACACAGUGCUAGGAAGUGACUGAGUCAGGAUUUAAACAGUCUCAAAAGCCUGGUCACCCACUGCUGCCCAUCUCUCAACAUCUCUUAUAAAAGAAUAAGCAACAGGAAAGUAUUGGGAUUUCCCUGGUGGUCUGGUGGUUAGGAUUUGGUACCUUCACUGCCGUGGCUGGGGUUCAAUCCUAGGUCGGGGAACUGAGAUCCCACAAGCUGUGUGGUGUGCCAAAAAAAAGGGAAAAUGUGCAUUUUUUCCAUCAGAAGAUGUCAAGGGAAUUUCAUCAAGACCAAAUACAUGUUUUUAAGCUGUCAUUUGAAAGUAUUCCUUCGGGUAAAACCACACAUCCUUGAGGGCAAGGACUGCAUCUAGAUCAGUUGAAUUCCCAAAGCCUAACACAGUUCCUGGUUAGUUAGUUCCUAGGUACGUACAGUUUUGGUGAAUUCUUCGUUUUACCUUAUUUCCACCCAUACAGCGUUAAAAUCCUAAAAACUGAAACGUCUUCAAAUGCUUUGUUUUAGGUAAGCAUGUCUCCAUCAUAAAGUUGGGUGCUUUCUGAGGAUGCGGCUCAUUGAUCGGGGAGUAUUUGGAAGGCGAGAACCUCUCGGGAAUAAAGUCUGUUAACUCACACUACCUGAUGUGGCCAGAAAUUUCAAGUCAUUAGAUAUAGGCCUGAUUCACUGUGUGGUACCUCAUGACAGAAUGAGAGAGAGAAGCCACAAAACGUGACCUGAGGGAACAAAAAGCCCGAUCUGCGCUCCUACAUCAGUGACACAGGAUCUUUCCAGCCAAAGAAAAAGCCCUGAACUUACGUGGAGACUAUAUUCAGGAACUUAAUGCACAUAGUAAUGCCAUCUAACCAGAAAGCUAUGGUAGCUGUAAAAUUCCUUUAACAGUAUACUUCCUUCUUGGUACAUGAACCUUAUAAGUGAUUGAACAGAGGAAACCUAGUUCCAUCAAAUUAUACUCAAAAGCAAUCAAUUUAUAUAGGAAGGUAACUUUUUUUUUUUUUUUUUGCGGUACGCGGGCCUCUCACUGUUGUGGCCCCUCCCGUUGCGGAGCACAGGCUCAGCGGCCAUGGCUCACGGGCCCAGCCGCUCCGUGGCAUGUGGGAUCUUCCUGGACCGGGGCACGAACCCGUGUCCCCUGCAUCGGCAGGCGGACUCUCAACCACUGCGCCGCCAGGGAAGCUCCCCACUGGCUUUUGAGACCUGUAACUGGGGGCUUUUGGCUCCUUUGACAGUUGAUUUUAGCAGCACGGCCCUUCACAGCAGUCUCUUGUUUGGGGAGGAAUAGGCGAGAGGUGGGGAAGUGGAGAUUAACUGUGUUUUCCUGUCAUUCUAUUCAUAGCCCCCAAACCUAUUAUGAUCUGUUAGUUGAUAGUUGCCUUCCUCAAAUAUUGGCUCACAGAAAGGGGAGGGAAUGGGAAUUUCGGGAUGCCUUGAUAAGUGACCUCACUCUAUCCCUCUAGGCACUGGUUCUGGUUAAAUCUGCAGCAGCUUGAGUCCCAGGACUCAAUCCUCAGAGCCUGGAGCGGGGAUGGGAGGCUUUUCCUGGUAACUAUUGAUAACCAGCAGGGGGAGCGCGAGGAUCGCAGAUUCUCUUAAGUGUGAUUAAAACCCUUUACAGAGUAGAGUGGGUUUUCAAAACUGUUGAAGACUGAUAGUUAUGAAUCACUUGCCUUCUAACUCAAAUUUUCAUUCAACUUUGCAAUUUAAACUGUAUGAUGACAUCAGGAAGGUAUUAAGGCCAAGAAUUAGAAUCAACCAGUAAAGCUACAGAAGAAAAGAAUCUGUAAAUGGUGAGGACAGGAAGGGAUUAUUGAGAAGAGCUACUGGGGUGCUGGUAAUACUGUUUCUUGAUCUGAUGUUGGUUAUAGGAAUGUGUUCAGUUUGUGAAAAUUCAUCAAGCUAUAACACAUAGUAUAGGUACAUUUUUCUGUAUAUGUAUUAAUUUCAAUAAAAUGUUUUAAAAACUAAAAACAAAA
Long non-coding RNA from Orcinus orca (killer whale), 3858 nucleotides. RefSeq lists it as uncharacterized. NCBI's taxonomy places the organism in Eukaryota, Metazoa, Chordata, Mammalia, Artiodactyla, Delphinidae. The transcript has 2 exons. The record is from RefSeq and is a predicted model, not a curated record.